UGCAAGUCGAGGGGAAACGACAUUGGAAGCUUGCUUCCUUUGGGCGUCGACCGGCGCACGGGUGAGUAACGCGUAUCCAACCUUCCCGCAAGUAAGGGAUAACCCGUAGAAAUGCGGCCUAAUACCUUAUGUUUUCCUUAGAGGGCAUCUGAUGAGGAACAAAGAUCCGUCGCUUGCGGAUGGGGAUGCGUCUGAUUAGUUAGUCGGCGGGGUAACGGCCCACCGAGACGACGAUCAGUAGGGGUUCUGAGAGGAAAGUCCCCACAUUGGAACUGAGACACGGUCCAAACUCC
This 293-nucleotide ribosomal RNA is filed under the name uncultured Prevotella sp. RNAcentral's name for it is "partial 16S ribosomal RNA". It matches the Rfam family "Bacterial small subunit ribosomal RNA", at positions 56 to 339 of the family's 1533-position model. The record is from RNAcentral. Lineage: Bacteria; Pseudomonadati; Bacteroidota; Bacteroidia; Bacteroidales; Prevotellaceae.